This 292-nucleotide ribosomal RNA is filed under the name uncultured bacterium. RNAcentral describes it as "partial 16S ribosomal RNA". It matches the Rfam family "Bacterial small subunit ribosomal RNA", at positions 505 to 796 of the family's 1533-position model. The record is from RNAcentral.
GUGUCAGCAGCCGCGGUAAUACGAAGGGGGCUAGCGUUGUUCGGAAUUACUGGGCGUAAAGCGCACGUAGGCGGCUCAUUAAGUCAGGGGUGAAAUCCCGGGGCUCAACCUCGGAAUUGCCUCUGAUACUGGUGAGCUUGAGUCCGAGAGAGGUGAGUGGAACUCCGAGUGUAGAGGUGAAAUUCGUAGAUAUUCGGAAGAACACCAGUGGCGAAGGCGGCUCACUGGCUCGGUACUGACGCUGAGGUGCGAAAGCGUGGGGAGCAAACAGGAUUAGAAACCCCGGUAGUCC